CCACGUGUAUGUUGGAAGCGGCACGAAACUGGGCACGUGCGUGUUACGUUAUUAAUAAAUUAAAGCUUAUAACAAAAUCACGUGACUGUUAUUGUUUACAAGAUACAACAAGGAACAUAACAACUACACAGAAACUCCUGGGAGAAACCUAAACCUGUGGUGAUUAUAAAGCCUGAUCAACACGUGUUCAGAGGAGAGACUGUGACAUUCAAAUGUGAGAUAAAGAGCGCAAAAGACACCGAGUGGACAUACAGCUGGUAUAAGAAAGAUGACACAGAGAACCUGUACAAAGAAGCACAAGAGUUCAUCAUCAGCUCAGUUACAAACACUGACAGAGGCAAAUACACCUGCAGAGGGAAGAGCAGUGACUCUCAGUUCUCACAGCACAGUAAUCCUGUUAAACUCACUGUAUCAG
Molecule: long non-coding RNA, 415 nt
Organism: Tachysurus fulvidraco (yellow catfish)
Lineage: Eukaryota; Metazoa; Chordata; Actinopteri; Siluriformes; Bagridae
Exons: 2
Source: RefSeq, a predicted model, not a curated record